RNAcentral lists this ribosomal RNA (301 nucleotides) under uncultured bacterium. RNAcentral's name for it is "partial 16S ribosomal RNA". It matches the Rfam family "Bacterial small subunit ribosomal RNA", at positions 509 to 807 of the family's 1533-position model. The record is from RNAcentral.
CAGUAGCCGCGGGAAUACGGAGGGUGCAAGCGUUAUCCGGAAUUAUUGGGCGUAAAGAGCUCGUAGGCGGUUUGUCGCGUCUGCCGUGAAAGUCCGGGGCUCAACCCCGGAUCUGCGGUGGGUACGGGCAGACUAGAGUGAUGUAGGGGAGACUGGAAUUCCUGGUGUAGCGGUGAAAUGCGCAGAUAUCAGGAGGAACACCGAUGGCGAAGGCAGGUCUCUGGGCAUUAACUGACGCUGAGGAGCGAAAGCAUGGGGAGCGAACAGGAUUAGAUACCCCCGUAGUCCCUGUCUCUUAUAC